GCGAAAACUUUACAAUGCUGGCAACAGCGAUAAGGGAACCUCGAGUGCCAGGUUACAAAUCUGGCUGUCGAGAUGCCUAAAAAGCAUUUCAUAGCAAGGGCCGGGCAAGACCGGUGCCAGCCGCCGCGGUAACACCGGCGGCUCGAGUGGUAACCGUUAGUAUUGGGUCUAAAGGGUCUGUAGCCGGCCGGAUAAGUCUCUUGAGAAAUCUGGCAGCUUAACUGUCAGGCUUUCAGGAGAUACUGUCUGGCUCGAGGCCGGGAGAGGUGAGAGGUACUUCAGGGGUAGGGGUGAAAUCUUGUAAUCCUUUAAGGACCACCAGUGGCGAAGGCGUCUCACCAGAACGGACCUGACGGCAAGGGACGAAAGCUAGGGGCACGAACC
This 384-nucleotide ribosomal RNA is filed under the name uncultured prokaryote. RNAcentral's name for it is "bacterial SSU rRNA". It matches the Rfam family "Archaeal small subunit ribosomal RNA", at positions 341 to 725 of the family's 1478-position model. The record is from RNAcentral.